CACUGCGUCCGGGUCGGUUCCCGAUCUCCCGGGCUCCGGCCGUUCGCUGUGUGAUGAUCAUAGCGCAGGUGCGGGGUGCUUCCGCAACUCAGUGG
This 95-nucleotide transfer RNA is filed under the name Streptomyces reticuli. Its description in RNAcentral is "tRNA-Pro". Lineage: Bacteria; Bacillati; Actinomycetota; Actinomycetes; Kitasatosporales; Streptomycetaceae. RNAcentral also lists the same sequence under 1 other name. The record is from RNAcentral.